AUUGAACGCUGGCGGCAUGCCUUACACAUGCAAGUCGAACGGUAACGGGCCUUCGGGCGCCGACGAGUGGCGAACGGGUGAGUAAUGUAUCGGAACGUACCUUUCAGUGGGGGAUAACGUAGCGAAAGUUACGCUAAUACCGCAUAUUCUGUGAGCAGGAAAGCAGGGGAUCGCAAGACCUUGCGCUGAUUGAGCGGCCGAUAUCAGAUUAGCUAGUUGGUGAGGUAAAGGCUCACCAAGGCGACGAUCUGUAGCGGGUCUGAGAGGAUGAUCCGCCACACUGGAACUGAGACACGGUCCAGACUCCUACGGGAGGCAGCAGUGGGGAAUUUUGGACAAUGGGGGGCAACCCUGAUCCAGCCAUGCCGCGUGAGUGAAGAAGGCCUGGUUGUAAGACUCUUCGGUCCGGGAACGGAAAUACGU
Molecule: ribosomal RNA, 423 nt
Filed under: uncultured bacterium
Lineage: Bacteria
Description: bacterial SSU rRNA
Rfam family: Bacterial small subunit ribosomal RNA
Source: RNAcentral